GUUUCCACUUGAGAUAAUUAAUGAUGUCCCAAGUCAUCGGUUUAAAUUCUGAGUCGAGGAAAGGGUUGACUCUGUAUUACAGUCCGCGAACUAAAAAUCCGGGUAAGAAAUUCUAUUAACCCAGGAGAAGGUGUUAGACAUUCCCGAAUUCUGUGGUUCUAGCAUGGUCUCUCAACUGUUAUAAAUGGCUUAAUUAUCUGAUUUUAAAAUAUUUU
Molecule: long non-coding RNA, 215 nt
Filed under: Nicotiana benthamiana
Lineage: Eukaryota; Viridiplantae; Streptophyta; Magnoliopsida; Solanales; Solanaceae
Description: long non-coding RNA (NBEN_LNC011510)
Source: RNAcentral